UUUUUCUUCUUACCCUAUUCAUACCCCGUACCCAACCCUUUCCAUUAAAAAAAUAAAAUAAAUUACGCCACCCCCACCUAGGCCACCACCAUAAAANNNNNNNNNNNNNNNNNNNNNNNNNNNNNNNNNNNNNNNNNNNNNNNNNNNNNNNNNNNNNNNNNNNNNNNNNNNNNNNNNNNNNNNNNNNNNNNNNNNNNNNNNNNNNNNNNNNNNNNNNNNNNNNNNNNNNNNNNNNNNNNNNNNNNNNNNNNNNNNNNNNNAUCUGUAUUUGUAUAAUUAUAAGUGUUUAUUUGUAUUUGUAUAUACAACUUUCUCUCGCUUUAUACAAACACAAACGUAUUUUAUACCGAAAUGUAUAAAAUGACUAAUUGUAUACCGAAUCAGAUGGCAAAAAAAGGGGAUGUUUGCUGUGAAUUACAAUUAAAAUAAACUAUGGCUAUCACAUUUCAUUUGAAUUAAUAGUUUGCUAUUUCAUACAAUUUUUCCUAUUAACAAUUGAAAAAUGUAGAAGUUCAGCAAACUUAAUAAACGAAGUAAGGCCUGUUUGGAUGGACUUAUAAAAAGUAAUAUAUAAAUCAAAAGUUAAAAGUCAUAAGUAGAUGAUACUCUAUUUUUGACUUAUUUUAAAACUUUUUUGACCUAAAAGUAAAUGCUUAAAAACACGUUUUAACCUUUCCAAACACCUAUAUAAUAAAAAAAAAUGUUUAAAAGUAAAAAAAUACCUAUAAAAAAAAGAGUUAAUCCAAACAAGCACUAAAUCAUACGACAAUUAGUUUCUAUCUUUUUUUGUUUUGUUUUUUUCACUGUGUAAAAAUGAGGCGAAGCCUCUAAAAUUUAUAAUCACUAACAGGUGCAAAAGGAAUAAUUUCCUAAAAAAAUAAUCAAUUAAUCAUUCCUACAAAUGAUUUGUAUCAACAAAUAUAACAGAUACAAUUGUAUUCAUUGACACAAAUCAAUUGUAUCAAGUGUAUUCGUGAUACGAUUAUCGAUCGGCUAUAUAAAUCAAUUAUAUAUAUCUCGCUUCUCUCCUCCCUCUCCCAAUUUCUCUCGUCUCCUUCCUCCUUUGAACCUGUAGUUACAUUUUUAUACAAUUGUAUUUAUCGAUAUAAAUAUUGAUUGGAUAUACAAAAUAAUUGUAUUUCUCUCGCCUCUUGCCAAUCUCUCCUAGAUAUCGCUUCUUCUUCUAAUAUGUAGCUACAAAUUGUAAUUAAUCAAACUAUAAUUAUAGAUCUCUAACUAAGACCAAACUAUAAUUAUUUUUGAUAGUUCCUCCUUUCUUUUAUGCUAUAUAACGAGGUAAGGGCCACUAGAGCCGUUCUAGUAUGGGCUAUAAUUAUAGAUCUCUAACUAAGACCAAAAUAUAAUUAUUUUUGAUAGUUCCUCCUUUCUUUUAUGCUAUAUAACGAGGUAAGGGCCACUAGAGCCGUUCUAGUAUGGGCUAUAAUUAUAGAUCUCUAACUAAGACCAAAAUAUAAUUAUUUUUGAUAGUUCCUCCUUUCUUUUAUGCUAUAUAACGAGGUAAGGGCCACUAGAGCCGUUCUAGUAUGGCUAUACCCAUAUAUUUAGUAUGUUUUAUAAGAAAAUUAAUUUUGAUGCCAGCCAAGAAAAUGGUGUACAUAAUAUUUUGAAAUUUUGAUUUUGAUUGAGUUGCACGAUAAUUAAAUCUCACAUAAGUGGUUGACCAAAAAGUAUUUUAUUAUAUUUUGUUUUGUUUUUUUUCCCUAUAAAAAUGUGAGUAUUUAUAUAUAUAAAGCUUCCAAGAUAGAAGAACAUAUACACAACUAAAUUUAACAUCCUCUUUUUUCUUUUUCAAAAAAUUUUCUAUCAAAAUGUGUUAAAAAAAAUUGAGAUUAAGUGAUGGAAGAAACUUAGCUUACAAAGAGAGAGGUGUUGCUAAGGAAAAAUCCAAUUAUAGAAUAAUAUUUGUUCAUGGCUUUGAUAGCUCCAAAAAAAGGGAAUUUCUUGCACCCCAGGUUGGUAUAUCCUCCUCCAUAAUUUACUAUAUGGGUGUGUGUUCGGUAUGUAAGAAAAUAUUUUCUUGAAAAAUAAAUGAUUUUUAAUUUUUUUUUUUUAUGUUUGAUAAGUUUAUGUAUAGUUUAAGUAAAUAUUAUGAGACGGGGUGGAGAGUAGAGUUGGAUCCAUCCUUAUAGCACCGAGUUCAUCUGAAUUCUUCGAUGUAGAGUAUAAAUUUGUGUGAACUCAAUAAUUUUGAAGUGGUGCAUAAAUUAUGUGUAAGAAUUCACUAAAUUUACAACAGACAGUUAAUAUGAACUUAUAACUUUAAAAAUAAAUGAGUUUAAUGCUAAAAAAUGUUAAAGAUUAAUCCGUUGAGCUUAAAUUCUGAAUUUGGGUGUGCGAUGGGCUUUGGGAUGAGGAGGCGACGAUCAAUUUAGAUUAUCACUUGCAGAAUUUGUGUUCCCUCCUUUUAUUAUAAUGAAUUUUAAGAAUAUUUUCAUUUGUUUCUUGAAAUUGUGAACAGGAAAUGAUGAACAAAAUGGGGAUAUAUCUAGUUCAAUAUGAUAGAGCUGGAUAUCGGAAAGUGACCCAAACCCAAAUAGAUCCCAAAGGAGUGAAGCAUGUGACUAUCACGCCCUGAGCCUACACCCUGGGAGGGACUAGCACUAGAGAACCAUUGCUUGCCCCAAGCGAACCCUUGGCCUGGUUUAACUCUUAGUGGAAGACUUACUCAUGAUAAAAUACUUUAAAAAGUAAACUGAACUGCUCAAUAAAUAACUUAGAAUGUAUAAAGAACAUUCACUAGCCAAAAUGGCACUCAAGUCUCAAUCAUUAAAACAGGAAAUGGGAAGACUCAAGAACUAACAUCAACGAUGCGCCGAGAUGGACGUCUAUGAAGCCUCUAAUAGCCGAGAUGGAUGUCGGGACAAGACUCACGACAUCCUAAUGAAUUAAAAUGAUAAAGUAAUGAAAAUGGGGAUCCUCCGGAAGCAAGGAGGCUCACCAACAACUCUGAAGCUCAAUUGGAUCAACGAUGCGCUGGAUGCUGACCCUGGUUUCCUGUGUCUGCAUCAUAAAACGAUGCAGUCCAAAUGGCAUCAGUACAUUGAAUGUACGAGUAUGCGAGGGGAAUACUAAAACAUAACGUAAGGUUGAAAAGAAUAUGAAAGGAACACUUACCUUGGCAUUACUCAAUUAAUGAAUAACUUAACUCAAUAUAAAGCAAUAAUACACAUGCAAUAUAUCAAAAGCUUUUAAAAAUAGUAGAAAGCAACUCAGUUUGUUUAAGAAAAUGCAAUAAUAACUCAACUUACUCAUAUAAUAAAGUAAUGUAAUACUGUGGGAGUUUCUCUAACCGAUAACCACCACUAUGAGCAUAAUUGGUAAUACACCGUCUUGCCCACGCUGGCAGAACUUUCCUAUACUUUGUUGUCAUAUAGAACGCCUUAACUAAGUGGAUCCACUAGUCUAUGCUAAAAAGCAUCAAUCCUGUGGAUGGGAUACUUAUUCUUGAUUGUGACUUUGUUCAACUGCCUAUAGUCAAUGCACUGGUUUGAGAUAAUUACUCAAAACUUAGCUUAAAAGCUCUCUUGGAAUCGAUGUUCCCUUUCUUGCUCAAAUGUAAAAACAUUCUUUUAACUCUUGGGAAUACUUAGAUCCCGUAUAAUCUUUGAAGAAAUGAACUUUGCUCUUAAUCUUUACUCAACUCAAAGCGUAAGUCUUAAAACAAAGUAAAUUGUUUGUAAAAGACUUUUGGAAAACUUUAUGAACUUCUCUUGACUUGACUCUUAACUUUCCUUGAAUUGAAUUAUGGAUUCAAGGAUUGUGAUUUGUGAUAGGAAUGAUCUCAUGAUGUUUAAGAGUAUUUUUAGGUAGUUAAACAUGAGAAAAGAUCAAGAAAUCACUGUCUAGAAGCUAGUCCGCGACGCGGAGAUGUAUUUAAAUAUUUGAUCACGAAAAUAAAAUUUGAGGCAGAAUGGUCCGUGACCUCUCCACGACGCGAGAAGAAAAAUUGUCAAUUCUGAGGACUAGGUCCGCGACGCGGACCUGGUACCUGGUACCCAGAUUUUCCUGACUUGUUCCUUUUUCAUUUUCUAACCCCAAAUCUCCUAAACUCGACUAUUCCUCUCAAAUUCUCUUUAGAUUCACAUACCCAGCAUAUGUACCUAAGGAUCUAUUCAUAAACAACUCUUAAAAUCAACAUUUUAAUCUCUAAGGCUCCUCAGUCUCAGCUCAAUUCAAGAACGAAGGCAAAUUCAAGAAUACAUAUCAAGAGCAUCAAACUUUCAACCUUUUUAGAAGGAAUUUCGCUGAACUAAACAUGAUUGGCUCGUGGGUGAACAAACCCAACGCUAUGAAAGUCUCACAUACCUCGUAGGGAUCGCCCCUUGACCAAAUCCACAAUCUUAGCUUCUAGAAUUUGACGAUUCUUGCUUCUUCUCCUCUUUUCUCCUCUUCUUUCCUCUUCUCUAAAACCCUAACUUAAUUUUCAAAAGCGUAAACUGACCAAGUUCAGUUUAGACCCCUAAGUAAUUACCAAAAAUGAAUUAAUUUAAUUGGGUAUGGUAAAGACCAAAAUACCUUCCAAAAUCCGAUUUAGAUUUUCCUUAUUUAAACAACCCAACUUCAAAUGGGCAUAUCUCACUCAUACGAACUCGGAAUCGUGCAAACUCGGCGGCGUUGGAAAGAUUAUCCCAAAAUCUUUCCUAAGAUAUCUGGAAGCACACCUAAUUCAUUCUUAGGAGUUAUGGUCAUUUGAAGUUUACCAAAAACCCAUACUUAACAUAACUUAACCAAUUUUCCAGAUUUUUGUUCUUUCCUAAAAUGACUAUUUCCAAUUCUAACUCUUUUUAGUUCUUUCAAAAUAGCGAGAUAACAUUCGUCCUCGAAUGAGAUUACUCUUAGUAGGCUAAGGGUGUAACAUCUAGCAUUCAAUUCAAAAACCCAACAAGCAAUGCAAAUACAACAUGUCAACUUAUAAAUUAAAGAGUACUAAGAAGAAGAUUAGUACCUUGAUCUAGAAUUUCUCCAGUCUCAAAGAGAUGUGGAUACCUCCUCUUCAUAUCUUGUUCAGCUUCCCAAGUAGCUUCCUCAACAAACUAGUUCCUCCAAAGAACUUUGACUGAUGCUACUUCCUUAGUCCUCAACUUGCAAACUUGACGAUCUAGAAUCUGAACUAGAAUCUAUUCAUAAGAUAAGCUAUACUUGAUCCCAAUAUCUUCAGUUGGUAUGAUAAGUGAAGGAUCUCCCAUGCACUUCUUCAACAUGGAAAUAUGAAAUACCGAAUGAACCGUUGCUAACUCUUGGGGUAGCUCUAACUCAUAAGCUACAUUACCAACCCUUUUGGAUAUUCUGUAAGGACCAAUAUACCGAGGACUAAGCCUUUCCUUCUUACCAAAUCUCAUAACACCCUUCAUGGGUGAAACUUUCAAGUAUACCCAAUCAUCUACUUCAAACUCUAACUCCCUUCUCCUAACAUCAAUGUAGGAUUUCUGACGACUCUGUGCUAUUUUCAACCUUUAUUUAAUCACUUUCACCUUCUCCAUAGCUUGAUGCACUAAAUCUGGUCCUAUCAACCCAGCUUCACCAACUUCGAACCAUCCAAUAGGAGAUCUGCAUCUUCUCCCAUAAAGAGCUUCAUAAUGAGCCAUUUAGAUGCUAGAGUGGUAGUUAUUGUUGUAAGAAAAUUCUAUAAGGGGUAGGUGAUCAUCCCAAUUACCUUUGAAAUCAAUCACACAGGCCCUCAACAUGUCUUCUAAAGUCUGAAUAGUACUCUCUACUUGCCCAUAUGUUUGAGGGUGAAAGGCAGUACUUAAGUUCACCUUUAAACCCAAGCCUUUUUGGAAUGAUUUCCAAAACUAUGCAGUAAAUUGCACACUUUUGUCUGAAAUAAUGAAGACCGAAACCCCAUAAAGUCUUACCACCUCUUGAAUAUACAACUUACCAUAAUCUUUUGUUGAAUGGGUAGUCUUUACCGUCAAAAAGUGGGCUGAUUUUGUCAUUCUAUCAACAAUCACCCAAACAGAAUCAUGCUGCCUGAGAGACCUUGGCAAACCUAUGAUGAAGUCCAUGUUUAUCAUCUCUCACUUCCAUUCCGGAAGUUCUAUAUUUUGAGCCAAACCACCGGGCCUUUGAUGCUCUACUUUAACUUUUGAUAGUGACUUGAUAUUUAUGCUUGAAGGUUCUAAAAACAAUUUGAUGAGUGAGCUAGAAUAUCUCCAAGUAAGACAACAUAUUUACACAAACAAUUAAUCAUGUAGCACACAAACAAAUAUUGCGCAUUUUUUAAACAGAUAUGUGACCCUUUUAUGCCAAGGGUAGGCCUAACGAUUUGAAGGAUGUAUACAUUAAUUGAAACGUUUCAUUGCCCCAAAACCCAAAUUUAUACAAGUCUUAUGGAUAAACUGAAUGGGGAUACAUAAUAGGGGAAAUAGAAUACAAAAUAAUCAAUCCCGCGCAGGGGUACAAUUCUAAGCUAUGCCUUCAUGAAAAAUCCAUCUUUCAUGAACUUCCUGUCGUCUCCAAAUAUCGGCGCCUUUGGAUAGACUAGUAGUUUGUAAAUCUCUUUCUUCGACUAGAAUAAGUUAUAAUCUACUCCUUACCCCAAGGGACAAUGAUUUUUUCAAAUAACUUAUACAUCCUUCAAAUUUGAACAUGUAAGUAUGAUCGUCCAAUUAAGCCGUGGGCCAUUUUGGACUCAAGGUGGUCUCUCUAAUGGGCCCAACACACCUUGGGUGUUGGGUCAUCUUAGUUGGAUAUGCUAAAAGGGAUUUGAUUUCGCUCUACACUAGUUGACUAAGAGUUGGUUUUUGAGAGACCGGGGAACCCGAGUUGGACAAACUACGGGGUGAAGUAUAAUAAACGACGUUGGAUGACCACAAGCCAACUAUUCGUUUAUCACUUCGAAAGAAUUUAAAGGUGUUUUUUCUGAAGGACAGUCGUGGAAAGCCACGUAACCGCCUUUUUCUCCUAAUGCAAACUAUUUGCCAUUUGGCGGAAUCGGAUGCCAUGAAAUGCAACAGUUUAUAAUAUACAAGAAUUGAAACAAGUAAACAAUUAAACACAUAGCCAAAUAAUUAAUCUUAAGGUUAGAACCAUUCAAAUCCCCAGCGGAAGUCGCCAUUCUGUUUUAUUUAAAAGAGUAUAAUUUAGUCUUAUUUUAAGAGUCGCCACUUAAUUUUUAAGAAAAAUCAAGAAAAACUGAUUUUCAAUAGAUUAAAACAGGAAAUCAAUUGAAAAUAUUUAAAAGGGUUCGGGGUUCUUAUUAAUAUUCUAGGAAGGUUUUUAAAGCACCUAGAAUAUCCGCUAAUGCGGUUAUCCGACAAUUAAUUUAUUUGGCUAAAAUUGACUUUGACUAAUUUUGAGAAAAUAUUAACUAAGAAAACUCUCUUCUUUUUUCUUUUUGGAAAUAAAAUAAACUAAAAGAUUUUAAGAAUAUAACUCAUAUGACUUUCUUUUGGAGAAUUUAAUUAAAUAAAGCCAAUUCAAAUAAAAGGUUAGUCAAAUACAAAUAAUCAAAUAAAUAGUGUUAUACCCCAUUUUAAUUCGAGGUUCAAAUGGUGUACAACAUAUUAGUGAAUCUUAAAACUAUUUUAAAGAGUCGCCACCUAAUUAUGUUAAAGGUGAAUUAGGACACCUAUUUUGCUAAAGUUAUGUUAAAUCAACUCUAUAGUAAAGUGUACUUAACCUUGUGAGAUUCUAGGUGGGGGUUCUAAUUUAUAUUAAAGGGAAGGGGUAAGGCAUCCUUUAAAAUCUGUUAAAAACAGUUAACCGGCCAAACUUAAUUAAUUAAUUAGGCUAAGUGUAAAAGAGUAAAAAAAAUGUUGAAAUGCUAAGUAUACAAUAAUCAAUUUUGAAAAAUCGUUUCAUGUGAAAUCUAACUUGUGAAAAUAAAUUUGAAGGGAGGUUUUGAAAGCUAACGUGAUUCUUGUUUUAAGAAAGGAGUUAUUUUGCAAGAAUAAAACUUUUUUUUUUUUUUUUUAAAAAGGGCAAACUGACAGAACUUCAAAGUUGUGGAGAAAACUUGCAAGAAGCUUAUAAAAUUUCUCAUUUUCAAACCCUCCCUUUAUAUCUAAAAAAAUAUCCCAACUAAGUUGUCUAUUAUUAGACAAAGCAAACCAAUAAAUGAAGCAUGACUAUGAAUAAAUAACGCAGGUAUUAACAAGCAAUUGCACAAAAAUAUAGAUAUAAAGUUAAUCAUAAGGGAAAAUAUGUGCAAGCAAGAAUAGGAGCAUAAACAAGAAAAGCCAUUGUCGGCCCUCAUGAAGGGGUAACUAUGUUCUGCUUAGACACAGUAAGAUCACGGAUGACACAUGGAUUCCGAGCAUAUAGGUCGGUAAAUGAUAUGCAAACUCCGUAAGCAAAGACGUUGAGUCCCAAAGUGAAACUCUUCGGCUCCGAUUUUCAUGCAAACAAAGAAAAAGCAAAUGAAUGAGUUAGAACAAAAUUUAUCUUUUAAUAAUAACAAAAAUUAUAAAAUGCAGUAAAACUAGAAUUCCCUCAAUAUGCAGUAAAACUAGAAUUCCCUCAAUAUUCAACAUGUACUUACGGUAAACAAUGAGGUCAUAUAGUGGUUAAACAUAUAUGAGCAAUUUAGCAUAGUUUAAUAGUGACAAAUUGAUUUUAACUCCAGGAAUAAAUAUUAAAUACGACUUAAGUUUUACUGUAACAAAUAUAAUAUCACAUCUUGGUUACUAAAAUAGGGACUAAAAAAAAAAAAAACCAAAACAACAAACUUGAUUAUGAGAAAUCCAACCAACACGCUGCUUAAUAACUUUUGUGAAUCAAGUUCUCAUAAACUAAUCAUUAAAACGAAAUAAAAUCAAGACUUAUAAGAGUGACAAGUACAUUCAGAUUCGACCAGAUAUACUCUCAACCAAAACAACAAUAAACACCUAAAUGAUUUAUAAUAAGACUUCCAAGUAAAAAUGUUAACUACAACUCAACAUAUUCAAAUGGAAAGGUAUAUAUGAUGAACUACGAACUUUGAACUAUAUACAAACAUUUGUCACUUUCAUACAGAACAAAAAGAGACUAACAUGGAUUCCUAAACUAAUACAAACAUACUGAACAGAAGGGUAAGAUAUAACAAGGAAAAGGUAUCGAGAUUACUGUUUGUGGGGCAGCGAGCUAAGACAACGAGCGGACGAGCAUCAACUUCUUUCACACAACCUUAAAUUCGACCUUCGAUUCAAACAACCAACCCAGGAAUUUGAACCAACUUCGAGUACAAGAAUCUUCUUUCCCUUCUGAUUCAAGAACAGUUCGAAAGUCCUCAAAUGUAUAAUUUUGUGCCAAGAGAACUACCUCUCUGUAUUCACUCCCCUUUUCUAACUCUAUCCUUUAAAAAAAAAAAAUUCUCUAAAAUCUCCCCCCUCCUGAUAUUGGAACAGUAAGGUAUUAUAUAGAAAGGAGCUAGGGUUUGAUUUUGAGGGGGAAGGGCUGAAAUCCGAAUGGAAAGGGCCCAAUUCGAAAUUCAAAUCUGAAAAACCUUUCACCAAAUUGGGACGACACCUUUUUCUCUGAGAUUUCAACCCUAUUCCAAAAGGGGAAAAGGGGACGGACGGGUGGGAUCGAAUCACUCGUCCUUGGGCGCGACGUGGAUCGAUCCCACGCUACAAGGACAGAGGACGCGGCUGCUGCAGGUGCCUUUUGCUGUCGCGACAAGGAUGGGAGGAAGACGACACAGAUAAAGACGUUGCUUUUCCGUGAAUCGCGUUGUGUAUCUCCGUCUGGUCACUGUUCACGCUUUGACGCGUGAAGGAGAAGCGUAUAGAGGUCGCUGGAUCUUGCUAUUGUAUUGAAUGGGUUGGGUAUUAUUGUUGUACGUAUUUGGUGAAGUCUGGUGGGCUUUGGAAAUAAAAGGGAACAAAAUGGCUCCUUAAUUGUGGACUAGGAAUAAGAAAAUAGGCUGCUGAAA
This 9874-nucleotide long non-coding RNA is filed under the name Solanum tuberosum (potato). RNAcentral's name for it is "long non-coding RNA (STUB_LNC002911)". The record is from RNAcentral. Lineage: Eukaryota; Viridiplantae; Streptophyta; Magnoliopsida; Solanales; Solanaceae.